RNAcentral lists this ribosomal RNA (492 nucleotides) under uncultured bacterium. RNAcentral describes it as "partial 16S ribosomal RNA". It matches the Rfam family "Bacterial small subunit ribosomal RNA", at positions 29 to 507 of the family's 1533-position model. The record is from RNAcentral.
AGUGAACGCUGGCGGUAGGCCUAACACAUGCAAGUCGAACGGCAGCACAGUAAGAGCUUGCUCUUACGGGUGGCGAGUGGCGGACGAGUGAGGAAUACAUCGGAAUCUACUUUUUCGUGGGGGAUAACGUAGGGAAACUUACGCUAAUACCGCAUACGACCUACGGGUGAAAGCAGGGGAUCUUCGGACCUUGCGCGAUUGAAUGAGCCGAUGUCGGAUUAGCUAGUUGGCGGGGUAAGGGCCCACCAAGGCGACGAUCCGUAGCUGGUCUGAGAGGAUGAUCAGCCACACUGGAACUGAGACACGGUCCAGACUCCUACGGGAGGCAGCAGUGGGGAAUAUUGGACAAUGGGCGCAAGCCUGAUCCAGCCAUACCGCGUGGGUGAAGAAGGCCUUCGGGUUGUAAAGCCCUUUUGUUGGGAAAGAAAAGCAGCAGGUUAAUACCCCGCUGUUCUGACGGUACCCAAAGAAUAAGCACCGGCUAACUUCGUG